RNAcentral lists this ribosomal RNA (429 nucleotides) under Chloroflexota bacterium. RNAcentral's name for it is "Chloroflexi bacterium partial 16S ribosomal RNA". It matches the Rfam family "Bacterial small subunit ribosomal RNA", at positions 355 to 776 of the family's 1533-position model. Lineage: Bacteria; Bacillati; Chloroflexota. The record is from RNAcentral.
UGGGGAAUAUUGCACAAUGGGCGCAAGCCUGAUGCAGCCAUGCCGCGUGUAUGAAGAAGGCCUUCGGGUUGUAAAGUACUUUCAGCGGGGAGGAAGGGAGUAAAGUUAAUACCUUUGCUCAUUGACGUUACCCGCAGAAGAAGCACCGGCUAACUCCGUGCCAGCAGCCGCGGUAAUACGGAGGGUGCAAGCGUUAAUCGGAAUUACUGGGCGUAAAGCGCACGCAGGCGGUUUGUUAAGUCAGAUGUGAAAGCCCCGGGCUCAACCUGGGAACUGCAUAUGAUACUGGCAAGCUUGAGUCUCGGAGAGGGGGGUAGAAUGCCAGGUGUAGCGGUGAAAUGCGUAGAGAUCUGGGGGAAUACCGGUGGCGAAGGCGGCCCCCUGGACGAAGACUGACGCUCAGGUGCGAAAGCGUGGGGAGCAAACAGG